Molecule: ribosomal RNA, 327 nt
Filed under: uncultured Cercozoa
Lineage: Eukaryota; Cercozoa
Also listed under: 1 other name
Description: SSU rRNA
Rfam family: Eukaryotic small subunit ribosomal RNA (bases 111-327)
Source: RNAcentral
GAUUUCUGACAUUAAUGCGCUUGGCCCGCCACGGUUACGUGUGUGAGUGCCGAGUCGUGUUUGUCAUCCUUCUAGAAAAUGUUAGUUUGCUCUUCAUUGAGUUUAAUUAUCACGAUCUAGAUCUUUUACUUUGAAAAAAUUAGAGUGUUUAAAGCAGGCGUUUGCUAUGAAUACAUUAGCAUGGAAUAAUAAUUUAGGACUUUGGUUCUAUUUUGUUGGUUUCUAGAACUGAAGUAAUGAUUGAUAGGGAUAGUUGGGGGUGCUCGUAUUCAGUGGCCAGAGGUGAAAUUCUCGGAUUCACUGAAGACGAACUUAUGCGAAAGCAUU